Molecule: ribosomal RNA, 429 nt
Filed under: Gemmatimonadota bacterium
Lineage: Bacteria; Pseudomonadati; Gemmatimonadota
Description: Gemmatimonadetes bacterium partial 16S ribosomal RNA
Rfam family: Bacterial small subunit ribosomal RNA
Source: RNAcentral
UAGGGAAUCUUCGGCAAUGGACGAAAGUCUGACCGAGCAACGCCGCGUGAGUGAAGAAGGUUUUCGGAUCGUAAAACUCUGUUGUUAGAGAAGAACAAGGACGUUAGUAACUGAACGUCCCCUGACGGUAUCUAACCAGAAAGCCACGGCUAACUACGUGCCAGCAGCCGCGGUAAUACGUAGGUGGCAAGCGUUGUCCGGAUUUAUUGGGCGUAAAGCGAGCGCAGGCGGUUUCUUAAGUCUGAUGUGAAAGCCCCCGGCUCAACCGGGGAGGGUCAUUGGAAACUGGGAGACUUGAGUGCAGAAGAGGAGAGUGGAAUCCCAUGUGUAGCGGUGAAAUGCGUAGAUAUAUGGAGGAACACCAGUGGCGAAGGCGGCUCUCUGGUCUGUAACUGACGCUGAGGCUCGAAAGCGUGGGGAGCAAACAGG